CACGUAGGGCGCAAGCGUUGUCCGGAAUUAUUGGGCGUAAAGAGCUCGUAGGCGGUUUGUCGCGUCGAAUGUGAAAACCCGGGGCUCAACCCCGGGCCUGCAUUCGAUACGGGCAGACUAGAGUUCGGUAGGGGAGUCUGGAAUUCCUGGUGUAGCGGUGAAAUGCGCAGAUAUCAGGAGGAACACCGGUGGCGAAGGCGGGACUCUGGGCCGAUACUGACGCUGAGGAGCGAAAGCGUGGGGAGCAAACAGG
RNAcentral lists this ribosomal RNA (253 nucleotides) under uncultured bacterium. Its description in RNAcentral is "partial 16S ribosomal RNA". It matches the Rfam family "Bacterial small subunit ribosomal RNA", at positions 524 to 776 of the family's 1533-position model. The record is from RNAcentral.